Molecule: ribosomal RNA, 254 nt
Filed under: uncultured bacterium
Lineage: Bacteria
Description: partial 16S ribosomal RNA
Rfam family: Bacterial small subunit ribosomal RNA
Source: RNAcentral
UACGUAGGGGGCAAGCGUUGUCCGGAUUUAUUGGGCGUAAAGAGCGUGUAGGCGGCCAUUCAGGUCAGCUGUGAAAACUCGAGGCUCAACCUCGAGACGUCGGUUGAAACCGUUUGGCUAGAGUCCGGAAGAGGAGAGUGGAAUUCCCCGGUGUAGCGGUGAAAUGCGCAGAUAUCGGGAAGAACACCCGUGGCGAAGGCGGCUCUCUGGGACGGUACUGACGCUGAGACGCGAAAGCGUGGGGAGCGAACAGG